RNAcentral lists this long non-coding RNA (621 nucleotides) under Mus musculus (house mouse). RNAcentral describes it as "predicted gene, 47214". Lineage: Eukaryota; Metazoa; Chordata; Mammalia; Rodentia; Muridae. The record is from RNAcentral.
UUUCAAUGCAGAAAUUUUAGGAGGACUUUGGGUGGAGGGACAAGAAAGAACAACAUAUUUGCUGGUCAGAUGUACCUUGCAGGGAACAGAAAAUAAGGAGUAGAAUCUUAAGAGCUAUGUACAUGUAUGAGUGAAAGUCAAAGAAUGACUAUAUCUAAGCAUCUCUCUCAACUACAGCACACAUGUGCAGGAGGCAGGGAUACCAGCCACCAGGAGGAAAUUGGCACAUAUGAGAUUGCUCAGACCUCAUACAGAUCUAGAACCACACACAGAUGCAGACUAAGCAGGGGGCUGAGGUUAUUGAGAUGAAGAGAAGCAAAGGAUGAGGACAGACUGAGCCAAGCCACGAACUCAACAGACCUUUACUGAACAUAUUAGUACUGGUUGAAGAAUAUUGUCUGGAGCAGAUGACCUGGGUUCAAAUUCCAGCUUUGCCACCUACUGAGAGCAUGGUCUUGGAUCUUUCAGUACAAGCACUCUGGAAAUCAGUUUGUCGAUUCCUCAGAAAAUUGAGGACCCAGCUAUACCACUCCUGGGCGUAUACCCAGAAGAUGUUCCAACAUGUAAUAAGGACACAUGCUCCACUAUGUUCAUUGCAGCCUUAUUUAUAAUAUCCAGGAG